Molecule: long non-coding RNA, 466 nt
Organism: Hylaeus volcanicus
Lineage: Eukaryota; Metazoa; Arthropoda; Insecta; Hymenoptera; Colletidae
Exons: 3
Source: RefSeq, a predicted model, not a curated record
GUAGCGAUGGAAGAUAAUGAAAAGUUAUCCAGCCAUUCAUCACUGUCUCCUUAAAAUUACGACAGCGACCCGAACAUGUUUGACGCUGCGUCCCCUUAAAUUAUCAUUUGCAUGAUCCCCGGUUGAUUAGAUUCGUGCAACCGUUUCAGCUCCUUGCUCCGUCGAGUGAGGAUUCCCUAUGGCUGACUAUAAACGGACCAUUCUACUGCGCGAAGUCGAAUCCUGUUCAUUGAUACACCGCCCACUGUUUAUGUAUGCACUCCAAAAGAAAGGUAAUUUUAACGAGGAAUAUGUUACGUUUUAAGCCUAUCUUCGUUCGACUAAUGAAGAGGGGUAUUAUUUAUAUAUACUUAAAAUGAUUUGUUUGCUGAGUAAUAUCAACAAAUCGUUUCUUUUCUUGUUAUGUGUAAUGAAAGAAUGAAACAGAAAUAUCGUGCAUCACACAAAUGUAUAUAACAAAAAUGAA